GCCAGCAUGGUGUAGUGGUUUGAAUGUUGGACUAUGACUCCAGAGAUCAGGGUUUGAUUCUCUGCUUGAGCA
This 72-nucleotide transfer RNA is filed under the name Phrynosoma platyrhinos (Desert horned lizard). RNAcentral's name for it is "tRNA-OTHER". Lineage: Eukaryota; Metazoa; Chordata; Lepidosauria; Squamata; Phrynosomatidae. The record is from RNAcentral.